CAGCUUUCUAGUUUUAGUCGUUUCUUUCUUACUUAUUCUUAUGGAUUGUAUAAAUAGACUGGAUGAUGAGGAGCCAUGGGAUCUGAUUUCAGUGUCAUUCUUGGCUCCUGCUGGAACCUACUGUUGUCUAAUGUGCAAAGUAUUUCCCGCAUGUUGUGGUUUGUUCAUGCAUUCAGGAGCAUUGUCCUGUUGACAGCUGGCUGACGUUAUUUUUGGUUUGCUGCUGGCGGCAAAUUUAAGUUUGGCGUUUUUCAUAAAUACAAGAAGGACUCAAAUAGACGUUGAGUAUUUUACUUAAAAGUAACCUUCAACCCAACGUCUUUUUUUCGGAGUUCAAAAUGUUUUUGUUGCAUGCAGAAAUGUAAUUUCAUUUUCUCUGCAGGAGUUCAUCAAUUUCAUAAAUGCAACACAUUAUAGUUUGUUUAUACAUAGCAUAAAGGCAAAACAAAACAUUGUAUGCAGUGUUAUUUCAUUUUAAAUAUCAAACGGGUUUUGCGGC
This is a long non-coding RNA of Hypanus sabinus (Atlantic stingray), 499 nucleotides long. RefSeq lists it as uncharacterized. The transcript has 3 exons. Lineage: Eukaryota; Metazoa; Chordata; Chondrichthyes; Myliobatiformes; Dasyatidae. The record is from RefSeq and is a predicted model, not a curated record.